AACGAACGCUGGCGGCAGGUCUUAGGCAUGCAAGUCGAACGGGUGUAGCAAUACAUCAGUGGCGCACGAGUGAGUAACGCGUGGGAAACUGCCCAUCACUGGGGAAUAACGUUUGGAAACGACCGGUAAUACCGCAUACGCCGGAAACGGGAAAGAUUUAUCGGUGAUGGAUGUGCCCGCGUUGGAUUAGCUUGUUGGUGGGGUAAUGGCCUACCAAGGCGAUGAUCCAUAGCUGGUCUGAGAGGACGAUCAGCCUCGUUGGAACUGAGACACGGUCCAGACUCCUACGGGAGGCAGCAGCUAAGAAUAUUGGACAAUGGGGGAAACCCUGAUCCAGCCAUGCCGCGUGAAUGAAGAAGGCCUUCGGGUUGUAAAGUUCUUUUAGUCGUGAAGAUGAUGACAGUAGCGACAGAAAAAGCACCGGCUAACUUCGUGCCAGCAGCCGCAGUAA
Molecule: ribosomal RNA, 451 nt
Filed under: uncultured bacterium
Lineage: Bacteria
Description: partial 16S ribosomal RNA
Rfam family: Bacterial small subunit ribosomal RNA
Source: RNAcentral